RNAcentral lists this long non-coding RNA (4878 nucleotides) under Cucumis sativus (cucumber). RNAcentral describes it as "long non-coding RNA (CSAT_LNC002366)". Lineage: Eukaryota; Viridiplantae; Streptophyta; Magnoliopsida; Cucurbitales; Cucurbitaceae. The record is from RNAcentral.
UUGGUUGAUGAAUAAAUGCUUCAAAGAAAAAUCGCCGAGAACUCGGCUUCAUCACAAAUUUCUCCUUCCCUCGAUUUAUUUGUUCAUCGGUUUCGUUGGUCUGUUCCUUGAAUCGAUGCAUCUCUUCUGAAUUCAGGGUGCUGCAGAAUUUGAGCACGAAGUGUUUGAUAAUGCGCUACUCUUUCUCGUAGAACAUUUUCUCUUCCAAGCGUUUCCAGCAUUGCUGAAGAAGAAGAAUCAGGAGUAGAGAAACUCAAGACUUGCAAUCUGCAGAGAGGGCAACUCGAAUGAUUACGGAACCAGGCAUCGAUACAAGGACUAUGAAACGAAUGAUUACAAUUCGGUAAGUGUUUAAUCAAUUCCCCUUCUUCGAAUUCACCCAAACAAACAGCGCAUUCCGUAUUGAAACUUGUCGUUGAUUCGGAUUCUUCAUUCUUUUUGAACUGCGAUAUAGGUAGCAAACGAAUCAUCGAGGUCUCCAGUCCAUGGCCAUGGAUUUGUAGUGAAGGAUUGUUAGGGUUUUCCUCAAAUUGGACCGUAGGUCGACCGGUAAACAGUCCAUGAAGGACACGGCACAAUUGUUUCAAAAGUCUAUAGUUGCUCAACAGUAGGAAGACGAUGCAUACGACGACGAUGGUCGAGAUUGACCAUGGACUCCAGCUAGAGUAAUCAGGCACCGGAGAUGGCGGAGGCGGACUCGAUGGCAUGUAAGAUUAUAGAUUCGUGGAUGAGACGAGAGCAUUUAUGAUGAUGAUAAAAGUUGGUGAAGGGUUUCGAUGGUUAUUGUUUUUGUUUAUAAAUAAGACGAAUAGGGAAUCUCGCACCUGAAUUUCUCCGUCAAAAAACCGAUUAAAAUUGAAUUAGAUGAUACCCAAGUAGAAAACGAGUAAAGAUAUUGAAUACUAGUUAUUAUAUUCAGAUAACAACGCAAGAAGUUAAAGUUUGUUGUCACUGUUUCUUGUCAUUUUUUUUCUGCUGAGGAAAAGAAAUUGAAGUUGAGAUUGGUUAGCAUGAUGGGGCCGAUGAAGUUAAUUUUUGAUGUAAUUAAAACUUCAAAUCUCCUCAAUAAAACUACUAUCAAGUCAUUUUUUACACUGCCAACUCCAGAUCAAUCUUGAAUUUGUACAAUGGCGGUCACUGAAUUUUCUGUCUCUUGGCUCCUAGAAUCUGCGGGUGGUUAACAUUUGGAGCCAUCAUCAAGGCGCUGUUGAAGCAAGAACCAGAAGGACCAUUUGUGAAACUCAACAUAGAGGAAGCUGAACAAAUUUGAGAAGACCCACGGGAUAACAUUUCAGCGUGUAAAAGAGAAUGGAGUGGCUUUUGGGAAGAGCUGCUGGCUUUUGAAGAAGGGUUUUGAUCGAUAUUUUUAGUGUUGCAGCCAUUCACUAGAAGAGGGGGAAUCUUGAAAGCUUGCAAUGGCGGAGGAUUACGCCAUUGUGGAAGAGGCCCAGCAACGAGAAGUGUCUGAAGCAAAGGACCGGCUUCUGUAACAGCUUGCAGGAGCUUCCCUUUCUGAGGUAAUGCUCUUCCCUUAGCAAGAUUAUCAAUCACUGCAGAGAAUGGAUCAGGCUUUUCUGUUUUUGGAGUGUCAAGUCCUGUUGCCAGAGGAGGUUGAGGGGCAUUGUUAUACUCUGGGACAAAGGGCUGAUUUACAAAACUUAUUUUGCUUGAAUCGGCCAUGUUUGCAGUGGAGAAAUCUGGUGAUGAAACACCAUCAAAGAACGAAUCUGCUGGUGAAGAACCAUAUGAAUGAUGAUUAUAAGUUUCAUAGAGACUAUUUGAUUCUGUGAUGCUUGAAUUUGCUUUUGUAGGUAUGUUGAGAGGGCUUUCAGGUUGGAAAUGACGCAGAGCGGGUAAUUCAGUUGCAGUAGUUGGCAUAAUUUUGUUCAUCAGUUUCUGCAGUUGAUCUCUUGCUUCAUCUCUUUCUUCAUAUGCUGCCUGCAGUAGAAGAAGUAAGCUCUUCACUUUCUCUUUGUUCUUAACACUUUCUUCAUUUGCUUCCAUUUUUAGAGACUCGAGUUCAAAAGUCGUCUGUAGGAGUUUCUGCUUCAAAUCCUCCACGUUCUGCAAAUUGAAAAUUAGUUUUGUUAGCGUAAGCAGAACAAAAUAUUUGCUUUAAAGAUAUAGAAAAUCCUCUUCUGCGUUUACUUUCUUCAAGAGAGAGAAAGUGGGAAGAUAAUGAUAAACUAUUGGAGCAUCAGGAUGAGGUUAUAGAAUGCCAAGAAGUUGGAAAUCCAAAGUCCAUUGUCAAAUAAUGCUGUAAAUUAGGUACUAUUAAUCAAUGUCUUUGGAAUAACAUAUAGCAUAAUUCUGAUCAAAACCGACAUAUUCUUUUCCAUUUGCAACCAAACAUGCUCAGAUAAAAAAAAGUCAGCACACACGUCGUGUAAAGCACAAACACUGUUUGUUACUCCCAAUCCCUUGCUUCUGCUACUUAAAACAAGACAAAUAGAACAUUUGUAGUUCAUUUCCCCCACCAAAGAAUAAAGAAAACCAAAAGAUCUAGCUUGGUGUAUGCAUUGUGAUAUAAGAUAAUCAUUACAACACCCAACUUCAGUGAACUUAAUCGAUCAUUUUCCAUUCAAAAAUUGGAAUUCUUAAAGAAAACAGAGAAUGAGGAAGAUCAUGGGAAGAUCAAACAAACAAUCAUUGUAAGGAAAAGCCCUCCUAGUUGAAAACACCCAAAAUUGAGAAGACCCAGAAGAAGAAAUGAACUGAACUAACUCUUGGGACAUGAAGAGCGAGAGAAUAAGAGAGACCCACCUCCUGAAAUCUCCAUAAACAGCCCAAAUCCUCCAUAGUUGUUUCUACUGCUUGGCUAAUAUGAAGGGAGGAAGAGAGGAAGGGAGAAAAGUAUAGGGAGUUUAAGAAAGAAAGUUGAACCCUGAGACAUUUAUAAAUUGAUGUGGAUGAUAGGACAGGUAUAAACUAGAGAGAGAGAGAAAUGGGUCUUUUUCUCUCUCUCACAAAGUUCCAGAGAAAGGCAGUCGACAUCAAGAAAGAAAUUAGUAGAAAAAUGAAAAAAAAGAAGUGGGGGGAGGGUCAGGUAUAGAAAGAAAUGAAAUUCCAAAUUCUACGCCCGAGAGGAAGGGCGUAUUGAAUUCCAUUAUAAACCACUUCUUCUCUCUUUGCUCAAAAAUGGAAACAGGAGACUCUCUUUCUCUCACAUGAAGGUCAAGCAGUAAAGACCGGUUAGAUUUCCCUUAUUUAAAUUCCUAUCGCUACAAUACAAAUACAAAAUGCCUACCUUUUCUAAGCUUAGACUCUAAAUAAAGAUUUAAAAUCCCAAAUUAUCUCCUUUUAAAUUUUAAUUUCCCUCCGGCGGCUCUCUUUCUCUCUCUACUGCAACAUUUUUAUUUGUACAAAGGGGUUUUACUUGGAGAAAUGGGCCCAUGGAAGCCCAUAUUUUCAUUCAUUUCUACGCUGUCUUACAUUAUGGAUCCAAGUAAUCUGUAGAAAAUUGGAAUGUUACAACUUUUAUCUCUCUUUGAAAAAGGCUUAAAUUUUAAAUUCAAUGACUGAGUUUAGUCUUCAAAAUUUUAAAGAUGGUGUGUGAAAUACUCAAUAUCUAAACUUUUUAAAUAGUCUAAUCGUUAACUUUCAGUUUUCUAUUCUAAUGUUAUUUUAACUUUAUAAAAUGUUUUUAAUUUUAUGUUUAAUAAAUGUGUUAAUUUUAAAUUGUGUCCUACUUUAGUAUACUAAAUACAAAAUUUUAAGUUUGGGAUUGUUUUCAGAUAAAAUUUUAAUUUAUAUCUAAUUAAUUAAUUGGUUUUUAAAAAUCUUAAUUAUGAAUUAUAAGACACCAAAAUGAAAGUUGAAGAAAUUGUUCGUAUUUGUUAUUCAACCAAAUAUAUGUGUAUGUAAAGUUCCAUUGUUCAGCAAUAAGGGGGAUUUGAAUCUUUGAUCACUUGAUUGAUGACAUAUAUACUUUAUGUCAGUUGAAUUUAGUUAAUGGUUUAGAUUGAUACAAUUACGUAAGUUCAGAGUUACAUUUAUAAAAUGUUAGGCUAAAUUGAUACAAUUACUAGUUUGAGGUUUAAAUUGAUACAACUUUCAAAGUGUAUGUUUUAAAUCGAUACAAUUAUUAGUUUAAGUUUUAAAUUGAUGUAAACUUAAAAGUUUAGGGUUGAAAUUGAUAUUCUUUUAAUUAUUUGUACAAUUUAUAUUUUAUAUCGUGGUUAUUGUUUCUUCUAGGUUAGAAGGCCAGAUCGAGACCAAGAUAGCAUAGUGACGGGCUAAGGGAAGGGAGUUCGACAUUUGGUGGCCUCACCCUUAGCAUUUUGGCUUUGAUGUGUCUAAGUUAGUUGGUUAGCCAACUUCUCCCUUGACCUUUGCCUCGAAGAUUCAGCUCGACCUCAAAACCAUGCUUUCACUCAAGGCAUGUUUGUCACGCCGAUGAGCCUAGGGUCCAAUCAAGCAAAUUUACACUUGUUACGUGAGGGUUGUGUGCGUUUUCUAAUUUUCAAAUUUUGGUAUCAACACUAUUUAUAAGAAAAAUACUUUAAUAAUUGUGUUUAGGUCUAUGGAAUAAUAUUUAAAAAAGCAAUAAAGAGAGAGUGUGUUGAGAGAGGGAGAGCAGUGAGCAUUCCCUAUUUUGAAAAAAUUACACAUCCUUUAUUUUGGCCUUUGAAAUAAAAAGUGCAACUCUUUGUUAUUUUACGUUACAUGACACAAGUGUCCAAAAAAGAGGAGACCAAAAUCGCUUUUACCUCCCUAGUUUCCUAACAGCUAACGACUUUACCUGUCGACAAAUCCUUGGAAUAUCGUGGAAAUUAUUACAAAAUAUAUACUCUCUCACAAUCACACACAUAGACUCCUCACAUAGACAUCAAUAUUAAACUACACCAUACUUUUCUAUUUUUUCCCUCUCCUCAUGAC